GGGGGCGUAAAGGUUUCGACGGGGAUCCUGAAUCACAAUAAGCGCGUGGUGGCGCACAACCACCUUAAAAUGUGUAACCUAAAAAUAAACGCUAACAAUAAUAAAUUAGCUUACGCUGCUUAAUUAAGCGGCGUCAUUCCGGUGCGAGGGACCACGGGCGCAUACGGAGUGUCAUUUUUAGUGGUGAACGUUUCCGGUUAAGCUUUGUCCCGGAAAUGUAUGAUGAAGCUACCGAAUCUGUCAGCCUGUUUACCGGCGGGCAGAUAAGGGAAUUUUAAUAGAUAAACUACACGCGUAGAAAGUUGUGUGGAUGGGUUUUCGGACAGGGGUUCGACUCCCCUCGCCUCCACCA
This 352-nucleotide transfer-messenger RNA is filed under the name Eubacteriales. Its description in RNAcentral is "QAKW01 sp003343605 Standard tmRNA". It matches the Rfam family "transfer-messenger RNA". Rfam says of the family: Bacterial tmRNA, also known as 10Sa RNA or SsrA, is named for its dual tRNA and mRNA-like properties. RNAcentral also lists the same sequence under 1 other name. Lineage: Bacteria; Bacillati; Bacillota; Clostridia. The record is from RNAcentral.